RNAcentral lists this ribosomal RNA (772 nucleotides) under uncultured bacterium. Its description in RNAcentral is "bacterial SSU rRNA". It matches the Rfam family "Bacterial small subunit ribosomal RNA", at positions 8 to 796 of the family's 1533-position model. The record is from RNAcentral.
AGAGUUUGAUCAUGGCUCAGGACGAACGCUGGCGGCGCGCUUAAAACAUGCAAGUCGAACGUGAAGCCGGGGCUUGCCCCGGUGGAAAGUGGCGAACGGGUGAGUAACACGUGAGGAACCUGCCCCGGAGACCGGGAUAACCCAGGGAAACUUGGGCUAAUACCGGAUGUCUUCACCGGACCGCAUGAUCUGGUGAAGAAAUGGAUUCCGCUCCGGGAUGGCCUCGCGGCCUAUCAGCUUGUUGGUGAGGUAACGGCUCACCAAGGCUUCGACGGGUAGCUGGUCUGAGAGGACGAUCAGCCACACUGGGACUGAGACACGGCCCAGACUCCUACGGGAGGCAGCAGUUAGGAAUCUUGCACAAUGGGGGAAACCCUGAUGCAGCGACGCCGCGUGCGGGACGAAGGCCCUCGGGUCGUAAACCGCUUUCAGCAGGAACGAAAUUGACGGUACCUGCAGAAGAAGCCCCGGCCAACUACGUGCCAGCAGCCGCGGUAAUACGUAGGGGGCAAGCGUUGUCCGGAUUCAUUGGGCGUAAAGAGCUCGUAGGCGGUUCAGUAAGUCGGGUGUGAAAUCUCCGUGCUCAACACGGAGCGGCCACCUGAUACUGCUGUGACUCGAGUCCGGUAGGGGAGUGUGGAAUUCCCGGUGUAGCGGUGAAAUGCGCAGAUAUCGGGAGGAACACCAGUAGCGAAGGCGGCACUCUGGGCCGUGACUGACGCUGAGGAGCGAAAGCGUGGGUAGCAAACAGGAUUAGAUACCCUAGUAGUCC